Vicia villosa (hairy vetch) is the source of this 4546-nucleotide long non-coding RNA. RefSeq lists it as uncharacterized. The transcript has 11 exons. NCBI's taxonomy places the organism in Eukaryota, Viridiplantae, Streptophyta, Magnoliopsida, Fabales, Fabaceae. The record is from RefSeq and is a predicted model, not a curated record.
AGUAUAAUAAAACGCGUGACCUGGAAGAGGAAUUAGGGUUCUGUAACCUUUCACAUUCACGCAGGAAGCCCCUUUCUCCUCAUUGAACGGCGCCGUUCUUCAAGAUCGCUCUGGAAAACGCAAGGCGCAUCUCUCCGUCUUUGUUCUGCGUGAAUCGCCGUCGUUACCUUCCAUACAGCCACCGCCGUUCAUUAUCGCCUCACCACCACAACAACCGCAACAAUCUGAAGCCGACCAUGCGUUACCACCGACCGCUCAGCCUUCUUCACUUUACCGCUGCCGAAGUUUAUAGAUCUCAGGUGUUAGCUUUUCGUACUUUGCAUCUUAUUGAUUGUUGCUUUGUGUUGUAGAUUAUAACUAGAUGAAUAGGAAAUAGAGAGAAAUUUCUCUUGUUUUGCUGAUUGAAAAGAAUGCAUUUUUUGGGAAUAAAAUGUUUUUUGUUAUGCUUUUAUGUGAAGACAAGGAAAAUGACUCUAGUAUGUGUGGUUUGACACAGAUUCAAGGUUUCAAAUAAAGUAUGUGUGGUUUGACACAGAUUCAAGCUUCAAAUAAAGUAUGUGCGUCUGAAAACGAAUUCAACUAUUUAGGUUUCGAUGUAUUCUGUAAUGUAAAGAUGGAUAAUGUUAGAUAGGUCAAUAAUAACCAGCAUACUCAUAGAGAUGCAUUUAACGAUUUUGUUCUUGAAAAGAGCAUUGGCGGAGCCUAUGGAGAUGAGGAAUAUAAUUCCAGUGGUUCAGAUGUUGGAAGAACUGGAAGUAGGCUCAUUGUCGGCGUUGCAGAGACCUUAUCCGAGCAAAGAAAUGGUUUCAGCCUGAAACAUGAUUUUUUUUAAUCACGGAGCACCAAAACAUAAGGAACACUGCCAUGUCAAGGAACUGGAAAAUUGAGAGGAAGAGGAGUUUGUGUGGGAUGAGAUGAACCCUGGUUUGCCCGAACAUGUACCCUUGUCUUCAUAAUCUAACUUCUUUGUGCUUUGAAAUUGAUAAGGUUUUGUUCCUGUUUUGCUGAAGCGGUAAUAUUGUUUCUUUCUCCCUUUAUAAUAACUGCUAUGUCUUCUUAGUUCUGUCAAUAUUCCUUCUAGAACCAUCGAUCGAAUUCUGUUAGAAAUUCGGACAACCCAAACCCAACCCAAAUAGAAACCGAUUGAGUUUGAUACAAACUGGAAAAAAAAUGGUGAACUACAUGCUGAUGAUCAAUGCUGAACUCGAGAAUUUGACCAUUAUAUUGAAUUCUUCAAGGUAUUACAAUAUCUUUUUUAUUUUCUUCAACAUGCUUUUUUCUUCCUCUCUAUUUUAAUAUUAAUUUCUUUAUCUUUGUGAUGAUGACGAUGAUAGUUGAAAUGUGGAAGAUGUGGUGAAUUGAUCCAAAAAGAAACUUGUGUGUCUUUGAAUGAUACUGUUCCUCUUCCAGGUUACUACAAUAUAUGAGUAAAUAUUCACUAAAUGUCCUGUUAUAGAGUCUUUGUUAUGUCUGCCUUUAUUCAAAUGUGUAGGUCCUUUCAACAAAUUUUUAUGCUCUUGAAAUUAGUGUAUGUUAAGUUGGUGUUGGUACAAUUUCUAGUUUUGUAAUGGAGUUAUCAAGUCUUACUAUUUUUAUGCUCUCUUUUACUGUUUGGUUAGUUCAUAUAUUGUUAAACUCGUUUUAUGCUUAAUAGCUUUUUUGUAGGUUAGCAACUUAGCAUGCUUCUACUCAAUUCUUUUAGAAUUAGUGAUAAUCUUUCUAUAAAAUAACAUUCAAUUCUUUUGGUUGAAUGCAUGCACUUUUUGCUUCGCUGCUCCCUUUUAAAAGAGGUUUCACACUUAUAUGUUAUUAUAUAUUUGACCAGCCUGACUUUUCUCUAUGGAUGUAGGUCAAGUACAAAUGAAGAGGAAAUAUUUGAAGUGCAGGAUACACGAUCACUUUUCCCCCUUCAACAUGAAGAGUCAGUCCUAUGUAAGAGACUAAUAAGUAAGAUGGCUGAGAUUAGUAUUUAGAAAAUGAGGAAAGAUUUGACGCAAAGAGGGCAUGUACAACCACUUGUUUGGAUUAACCAGAAAUAUUGCAUAUCUCGAAAGGCUGGUUUAUUGAAGUAUAAAAUGGAGAAUGAUAUCCAUCAUCUGAUCCAACAAAGAAAGAAGGAUAUUAAGAAAUCCAGGAAAAAGAUUACCAAAUUUGUGAUAGAGAUUGGACGUUUGAGGAAUCAUCUUAAUAGGAACGAUGUUUCCAACAAAAGAAAAGGUCACAUAAGAAAAUAAGUUGCACAAAAAAUUCGACGCAAAUAAGGCAUGUACAACCACUUGUUUGGAUUAACUAGAAAUAUUGAAUAUCUCGAAAGGCUGGUUUAUUAUUGGAAAAAAAUGGACAAUGAGAUCCAUCAUCUGAUCCAACAAAGAAAAAAGGAUCUUAAGAAAUCCAGGAAAAAUAUUACCAAAUUUGUGAUUAAGAUUGAGCGUUUGAGGAAUCUCCUUAAUAGGAAAGAUGUUUCCAACAAAAGAAAAGCUCACAUAAGAAAAGAACUUGCAGUCAAGAUUCGACACAAAGAAGGCAUCUACAACCACUUUUUUGGAUUAACUAGAAAUAUUGCAAAUCUCGAAAGGCUGGUUUAUUGUAGGAAAAAAUGGAGAAUGAGAUCCAUCAUCUGAUCCAACAAAGAAAAAACGAUAUUAAGAAAUCCAGGAAAAAGCUUACCAAAUUUGUGAUUGAGAUUGAGCGUUUGAGGAAUCUCCUUAAUAUGAACGAUGUUUCCAACAAAAUUAAAGCUCUCAUAAGAAAAGAACUUGCAGGCAAGAUUCGACGCAAAGAAGGCAUGUACAACCACUGCUUUGGAUUAACCAGAAAUAUUGCAAAUCUCGAAAGGCUGGUUUAUUGUAGGAAAAAAUGGAGAAUGAGAUCCAUCAUCUAAUCCAGCAAAGAAAGAAGGAUCUUAAGAAAUCCAGGAAAAGGCUUGCAAAAUUAGUGAUUGAGAUUGAGCGUUUGAGGAAUCUCCUUAAUAGGAACGAUGUUUCCAACAAAAGAAAAGCUCAAAUAAGAAAAUAACUUUAAGGAAAGAUUCGACGCAAAGAAGGCAUGUACAACAACUUGUUUGGAUUAACCAGAAAUAUUGAAUAUCUCGAAAGGCUGGUGUAUUGUAGGAAAAAAUGGAGAAUGAGAUCCAUCAUCUGAUCCAACAAAGAAAGAAGGAUCUUAAGAAAUCUAGGAAAAAUAUUACCAAAUUUGUGAUUGAGAUUGAACGUUUAAGGAAUCUCCUUAGUAGGACCGAUGUUUCCAACAAAAGAAAAGCUCACAUAAGAUAAUAAAAUAAAAGUUAACUUAAGUUGAAGCUUAGUUAUUUUUAAUUAUUAACAGUUUUUUUGUUUAUUAAACAGAAAAUAACUUGCUGGAAAGAUUCGAUGCAAAGAAGGCAUGUACAACCACUUGUAUGGAUUAACCAGAAAUAUUGCAUAUCUCGAAAGGCUGGUUUAUUGUAGGAAAAAAUGGAGAAUGAGAUCCAUCAUAUCAUCCAAAAAAGAAAAAACGAUCUUAAGAAUUUCAGGAAAAAUCAUACCAAAUUUGUGAUUGAGAUUGAGCGUUUGAGGAAUUUCCUUAAUAGGAAAGAUGUUUCCAACAAAAGAAAAGCCUACAUAAGAAAAGAACUUGCAGUCAAGAUUAGACGCAAAGAAGGCACCUGCAACCACUGUUUUGGAUUAACCAAAAAUGUUGCAAAUCUCGAAAGGCUGGUUUAUUGUAGGAAAAAAAUUGUGAAUGAGAUCCAUCAUCUGAUCCAAAAAAGAAAGAAAGAUCUUAAGAAAUCCAGGAAAAAGCUUACCAAAUUUGUGAUUGAGAUUGAGCGUUUGAGGAAUCUCCUUAAUAGGAACGACGUUUCCAACAAUAGAAAAGCUCACGGAAGAAAAGAACCUGCAAGCAAGAUUCGAUGCAAAGAAGGCAUGUACAACCACUGCUUUGGAUUAACUAGAAAUAUUAGAAAUCUCGAAAGGCUGGUUUAUUGUAGGAAAAAAUGGAGAAUGAGAUCCAUCAUCUGAUCCAACAAGAAGAGGAGGAUCUUAAGAAAUCCAAGAAAAAGCUUACCAAAUUUGUGAUUGAGAUUGAGCGUUUGAGGAAUCUCCUUAAUAGGAACGAUGUUUCCAACAAAAGAAAAGCUCACAUAAGAAAAUAACUUGCAAGAAAGAUUCGACGCAAAGAAGGCAUGUACAACCACUUGUUUGGAUUAACCAGAAAUAUUGCAUAUCUCGAAAGGCUGGUUUAUUGUAGGAAAAAAUGGAGAAUGAGAUUCAUCAUAUGAUCCAACAAAUAAAAAAGGAUCUUAAUAAAUCCAGGAAAAAUAUUACUUUAUUUGUGAUAGAGAUUGAGCGUUUGAGGAAUCUCCUUAAUAGGAACGAUGUUUCCAACAAAACAAAAGCUCAUAUAAAGUAAUAAAAUAAAAAAUAACUAAAUUUGAAGCUUAGUUAUUUUCAAUUAUUAACAGUGUUUUUGUUUAUUAACAGUGUUUUGGUAUACACCUUUUGAUCCAGUUUCGUGAGAUUUGUUUUUUCAAUCGAUUCUUUAUUUUCAGGUUCUGUUCAUUUCUGCU